This 432-nucleotide unclassified non-coding RNA is filed under the name fungal sp. RNAcentral describes it as "partial internal transcribed spacer region". The stretch from base 1 to 46 matches the Rfam family "Eukaryotic small subunit ribosomal RNA", at positions 1786 to 1831 of the family's 1831-position model. The record is from RNAcentral. Lineage: Eukaryota; Fungi.
AAGUCGUAACAAGGUUUCCGUAGGUGAACCUGCGGAAGGAUCAUUACAACGUAUCCAACGUAAACAAACGCGAACUUCCCUUUGGGACGCGGGACCAAAUGCAGGCAGCUGCUUUGGUUAUGAAGUUAGUAGGCUGAACUGCUAACAGAGUGUUUCGUCGAUGGAGGCUUGCCUGGACAGUCCAGGCUUGCCUGAAACACCAGUUCUUGGCCCGGAUUAGUUCUUUGUGAACGUGUCCGAACUUCGCCUGCCCCAAAGUGUAUUUAACCAUCGGUUCUAUUGUACCUUUCAUUAACCCUGUAAACUUUUGUACUGAACUUUGAAAGCAUUGCGGCAGUCCUUGUUGGCUUCGGUCACGGAUCGCUUAACGCUUUGUCUUUCUACAAUUUACGUAAUUAAGAACAACUCUUAACAACGGAUAUCUUGGCUCUC